Molecule: long non-coding RNA, 215 nt
Filed under: Elaeis guineensis (African oil palm)
Lineage: Eukaryota; Viridiplantae; Streptophyta; Magnoliopsida; Arecales; Arecaceae
Description: long non-coding RNA (EGUI_LNC035228)
Source: RNAcentral
UGGGGACUUUCAAGGACUGGGGCACCAGUCAACAGUCUGAAUGGAUUGCGGUCAAGAUCCAUUAGUUCAGGAAGCUGUUUGGGUUCUCUUUGAACUCUAUUUGAGCUCUUUAUCGAGUGGGACUCAUAUCUGAGUUCUUUAAACUGACCUAUGGCAAUAAAAAGCUGUGUGUUGGAAUUAAUGGCUCGAUAAAGAUCUGUGUGCACAGAAUAGAG